RNAcentral lists this non-coding RNA (21 nucleotides) under Caenorhabditis elegans. The record is from RNAcentral. Lineage: Eukaryota; Metazoa; Nematoda; Chromadorea; Rhabditida; Rhabditidae.
UUAUAAAUCCCUGUCAUUCUC